GGUUCAGCUUUUAAUUCAAUUACAUGUGCUGUUCACCAAAGCCAGGCGCAGAGGUGAAGUUUGUUGCACUCUUGGGGAAGGAGGCAUGAUUUCAAUUGAAUUUUUUCUCUCCCUUUCAAUCAAGUGAAAAUUACGCGCCUCUAAAUGACAUUGCAUGAGCUCAACAGUGAAAAACAAAAAUUGAAAUAGAAAUGAUGGUAGAAAUAUUAAUUAUUUUUCAUGGACAUACAUCCUGGGCUUCCAUAUGUUUUAUUCAUAUGCUUCUUUAACCUUCGUAUAAUGUAAUUUGGCUGCUGGGUUUGGGCCGCACCCAUAACAAGGUCUGGAGAGAGAGAGAGAAAAAAAAUCCACGUCAAUUGGUCUCCUCCAGCAGUCGUCACUCCACAUUGUCCCACCUCCUCCUUGUCUUCUCCGGGCAGCGGACGUAUAUAAACACACUGUACCAUCUUCCUCCAGCCUACCUAGUAACAUCACCAUAACCAUUACGUGGAGCUCGGAUGGGAGGGCGCACAGGCGAAGAGAUUGUGGCUGAUUUCAAGCAGAAAAGCCCCCACAGCGACCGAGGCUCGUCCACCUUCUCAUCCAGCAUAAUGUCAGCAUCACCUGUUGUUCCCUCCGUCGAUCGAAGCAGAGGAUGUGGACGCGACGUGAGAAAGUGUUGGUGGUGCUGAGUGGAAGACUAGUGAUUUUGUUGUGACGCUGCUCAAAGAACAACAAGUCCCAGUCUACCUCUCAGCACAAGCAGUGCCCUCCGGUUUACGUCAGCUUUAACCUGCACGACUCUUCAGUUCACAUUUCACUGUUGGCAUCGUUGACGGGGAUAUUCUGCUUUUUUUUCAGUGGCGACAAUUUGAAACAUGCUCUUUAAAAAACACUUAAAAUGGUCUGAUUCAGUCUCCGUGUGAAUGAGUGUAGCCAAACUGUUCAGCAGUGUUAAUCACGGGCAAUCAAAAGCAUCAAUUAAGCAUUUAUGGAACUGAAUCACACACAAGAAAAGCUGCUCAGGGAAAUGAUGCAAUAAUGCCAUGAAGUACUUUGUGCGCCACAGACUGAAAUAGUUGAGCAUUAUUGUUCUAAACUUUCCAGUUAUACUACAUAUUCUUAAUCCAAGGUUCUAUUGUUUAUCGAUUAUCCUCCAUUGGAACAAACAGCAUUUAAAGUCUUUUAUUUUGGUAAAAUAAAACCCAAUUGUAAACCUC
Long non-coding RNA from Acanthochromis polyacanthus (spiny chromis), 1199 nucleotides. RefSeq lists it as uncharacterized. NCBI's taxonomy places the organism in Eukaryota, Metazoa, Chordata, Actinopteri, Pomacentridae. The record is from RefSeq and is a predicted model, not a curated record. The transcript is spliced from 2 exons.